Molecule: long non-coding RNA, 458 nt
Filed under: Coturnix japonica (Japanese quail)
Lineage: Eukaryota; Metazoa; Chordata; Aves; Galliformes; Phasianidae
Description: lncRNA (ENSCJPG00005009123.1)
Source: RNAcentral
UUUUGCUUCUUAGAUUUUCUUUGUUGCCAAACGUAAGCAAAUGUUGAAAGAGCCUCUUCAUAAUCCUCCUAAAUUGUUGUUAACAUCCUAUUCUUUUUGAAGCCCUAACACUUGAGAAUAUUACUAUUUUCUCUGUUCCACAGUCAGAGUAAAUCCCUGUGAAUUCUACUCAAGUCAGAAUAGAAUUCUGCUCAGAAGAUAGAAGAAGUUCCACUGAUGCAAGGGAUGUCACAGGAUGGCUGUGAGGCUGGGAUCCCCCUGACUAAUGUAAAGGCUCUGCCCAGGACUUUUCCAGAAAUGAGGUAGUCACAGAGGAACAGAGAUCUCCCAGCCUGAAGUAACAGGUUUGCUGGUUAUCCUUCCCUGGGGCUGAUCAGAGACAGCAAGAGCAACUUGAGCUGGCUGCACAGAGCUGCUCUGGAGCUCAGCACCCAAGAGAGUAUUGGUAGAAAACUGCA